Molecule: ribosomal RNA, 234 nt
Filed under: uncultured bacterium
Lineage: Bacteria
Description: partial 16S ribosomal RNA
Rfam family: Bacterial small subunit ribosomal RNA
Source: RNAcentral
AAACGGGUGCGGAACACGUACGCAACCUUCCCAAAACUGGUGAAUAGCCUUCCGAAAGGAAGAUUAAUACACCGUAACAUAAUGGAGUGGCAUCACUUUAUUAUUAUAGCUCAGGGGGUUUUGGAUGGGCGUGCGCCUGAUUAGGUAGUUGGCGGGGUAACGGCCCACCAAGCCUGCGAUCAGUAACUGGUGUGAGAGCACGACCAGUCACACGGGCACUGAGACACGGGCCCG